RNAcentral lists this ribosomal RNA (347 nucleotides) under Actinomycetes bacterium. RNAcentral's name for it is "bacterial SSU rRNA". It matches the Rfam family "Bacterial small subunit ribosomal RNA", at positions 327 to 686 of the family's 1533-position model. The record is from RNAcentral. Lineage: Bacteria; Bacillati; Actinomycetota; Actinomycetes.
CGGCCCAGACUCCUACGGGAGGCAGCAGUGGGGAAUAUUGCACAAUGGGCGCAAGCCUGAUGCAGCGACGCCGCGUGAGGGAUGACGGCCUUCGGGUUGUAAACCUCUUUCAGUAGGGAAGAAGCGAAAGUGACGGUACCUGCAGAAGAAGCGCCGGCUAACUACGUGCCAGCAGCCGCGGUAAUACGUAGGGCGCAAGCGUUAUCCGGAAUUAUUGGGCGUAAAGAGCUCGUAGGCGGUUUGUCGCGUCUGCCGUGAAAGUCCGGGGCUCAACUCCGGAUCUGCGGUGGGUACGGGCAGACUAGAGUGAUGUAGGGGAGACUGGAAUUCCUGGUGUAGCGGUGAAA